CCAAUAGCGUAUAUUAAAGUUGUUGCAGUUAAAAAGCUCGUAGUUGAAUUUCGGGAUUGACGUGAUGGUCAUGCCUUAAGGGGUAUGAACUGUCACUGUUGAUUUCUCACCUUCUGGAGAAACUUGAUGUCCUUUAUUGGGUGUCUUGCGGAUCCAGGACCUUUACCUUGAAAAAAUUAGAGUGUUUAAAGCAGGCAUUUUUGCUCGAAUACAUUAGCAUGGAAUAAUAGAAUAGGACGGCAUGGUUCUAUUUUGUUGGUUUCUAGGAUCACCGUAAUGAUUAAUAGGGAUAGUUGGGGGCAUUAGUAUUCAAUUGUCAGAGGUGAAAUUCUUGGAUUUAUUGAAGACUAACUACUGCGAAAGCAUUUGCCAAGGAUGUUUUCAUUAAUCAAGAACGAAAGUUAGGGGAUCGAAGACGAUCAGAUACCGUUGUAGUCUUAACCAUAAACUAUGCCGACUAGGAAUCAGACGAUGUUAAUUUUUUAAUGACUCGUUUGGCACCUUACG
RNAcentral lists this ribosomal RNA (507 nucleotides) under uncultured Glomeromycotina. Its description in RNAcentral is "partial small subunit ribosomal RNA". It matches the Rfam family "Eukaryotic small subunit ribosomal RNA", at positions 591 to 1092 of the family's 1831-position model. Lineage: Eukaryota; Fungi; Glomeromycota. The record is from RNAcentral.